UACCUUACUACAUGGAUACCUGUGGUAAUUCUAGAGCUAAUACAUGCUAAAAACCUCGACUUCGGAAGGGGUGUAUUUAUUAGAUAAAAAACCAAUGCCCUUCGGGGCUCCUUGGUGAAUCAUAAUAACUUAACGAAUCGCAUGGCCUUGCGCCGGCGAUGGUUCAUUCAAAUUUCUGCCCUAUCAACUUUCGAUGGUAGGAUAGUGGCCUACCAUGGUGGCAACGGGUAACGGGGAAUUAGGGUUCGAUUCCGGAGAGGGAGCCUGAGAAACGGCUACCACAUCCAAGGAAGGCAGCAGGCGCGCAAAUUACCCAAUCCCGACACGGGGAGGUAGUGACAAUAAAUACUGAUACGGGGCUCUUUUGGGUCUCGUAAUUGGAAUGAGUACAAUCUAAAUCCCUUAACGAGGAACAAUUGGAGGGCAAGUCUGGUGCCAGCAGCCGCGGCAAUUCCAGCUCCAAUAGCGUAUAUUAAAGUUGUUGCAGUUAAAAAGCUCGUAGUUGAACCUUGGGUCUGGCUGGCCGGUCCGCCUCACCGCGAGUACUGGUCCGGCUGGACCUUUCCUUCUGGGGAACCUCAUGGCCUUCACUGGCUGUGGGGGGAACCAGGACUUUUACUGUGAAAAAAUUAGAGUGUUCAAAGCAGGCCUUUGCUCGAAUACAUUAGCAUGGAAUAAUAGAAUAGGACGUGCGGUUCUAUUUUGUUGGUUUCUAGGACCGCCGUAAUGAUUAAUAGGGAUAGUCGGGGGCGUCAGUAUUCAGCUGUCAGAGGUGAAAUUCUUGGAUUUGCUGAAGACUAACUACUGCGAAAGCAUUCGCCAAGGAUGUUUUCAUUAAUCAGGGAACGAAAGUUAGGGGAUCGAAGACGAUCAGAUACCGUCGUAGUCUUAACCAUAAACUAUGCCGACUAGGGAUCGGGCGGUGUUUCUAUGAUGACCCGCUCGGCACCUUACGAGAAAUCAAAGUUUUUGGGUUCUGGGGGGAGUAUGGUCGCAAGGCUGAAACUUAAAGAAAUUGACGGAAGGGCACCACAAGGCGUGGAGCCUGCGGCUUAAUUUGACUCAACACGGGGAAACUCACCAGGUCCAGACAAAAUAAGGAUUGACAGAUUGAGAGCUCUUUCUUGAUCUUUUGGAUGGUGGUGCAUGGCCGUUCUUAGUUGGUGGAGUGAUUUGUCUGCUUAAUUGCGAUAACGAACGAGACCUCGGCCCUUAAAUAGCCCGGUCCGCAUUUGCGGGCCGCUGGCUUCUUAGGGGACUAUCGCUUAAGGCCCGGGAAGCCCCCAC
This 1287-nucleotide ribosomal RNA is filed under the name fungal sp. J15 ZM-2014. Its description in RNAcentral is "SSU rRNA". It matches the Rfam family "Eukaryotic small subunit ribosomal RNA", at positions 128 to 1430 of the family's 1831-position model. Lineage: Eukaryota; Fungi. The record is from RNAcentral.